GACGAACGCUGGCGGCGUGCUUAACACAUGCAAGUCGAACGGAAAGGCCCUGCUUUUGUGGGGUGCUCGAGUGGCGAACGGGUGAGUAACACGUGAGUAACCUGCCCUUGACUUUGGGAUAACUUCAGGAAACUGGGGCUAAUACCGGAUAGGAGCUCCUGCUGCAUGGUGGGGGUUGGAAAGUUUCGGCGGUUGGGGAUGGACUCGCGGCUUAUCGGCUUGUUGGUGGGGUAGUGGCUUACCAAGGCUUUGACGGGUAGCCAGCCUGAGAGGGUGACCGGCCACAUUGGGACUGAGAUACGGCCCAGACUCCUACGGGAGGCAGCAGUGGGGAAUAUUGCACAAUGGGCGGAAGCCUGAUGCAGCAACGCCGCGUGCGGGAUGACGGCCUUCGGGUUGUAAACCGCUUUCGCCUGUGACGAAGCGUGAGUGACGGUAAUGGGUAAAGAAGCACCGGCUAACUACGUG
Molecule: ribosomal RNA, 468 nt
Filed under: uncultured bacterium
Lineage: Bacteria
Description: partial 16S ribosomal RNA
Rfam family: Bacterial small subunit ribosomal RNA
Source: RNAcentral